Molecule: small RNA, 51 nt
Filed under: Flavobacterium aciduliphilum
Lineage: Bacteria; Pseudomonadati; Bacteroidota; Flavobacteriia; Flavobacteriales; Flavobacteriaceae
Description: Flavo-1 RNA
Source: RNAcentral
AUUUAGCCCUGACAGCAGCGGCACCUUGUAGAGCGGAUGGCAGGAAUAGGG